UAGGGAAUAUUGGACAAUGGGCGCAAGCCUGAUCCAGCCAUGCCGCGUGUGUGAAGAAGGCCUUCGGGUUGUAAAGCACUUUUGUACGGGAAGAAAAGCACUCGGUUAAUACCCGGGCGUCAUGACGGUACCGUAAGAAUAAGCACCGGCUAACUUCGUGCCAGCAGCCGCGGUAAUACGAAGGGUGCAAGCGUUACUCGGAAUUACUGGGCGUAAAGCGUGCGUAGGUGGUUUGUUAAGUCUGAUGUGAAAGCCCUGGGCUCAACCUGGGAAUUGCAUUGGAUACUGGCAGUCUAGAGUGCGGUAGAGGGUAGCGGAAUUCCCGGUGUAGCAGUGAAAUGCGUAGAUAUCGGGAGGAACAUCCGUGGCGAAGACGGCUACCUGGACCAGCACUGACACUGAGGCACGAAAGCGUGGGGAGCAAACAGGAUUAGAUACCC
RNAcentral lists this ribosomal RNA (440 nucleotides) under uncultured bacterium. Its description in RNAcentral is "bacterial SSU rRNA". It matches the Rfam family "Bacterial small subunit ribosomal RNA", at positions 355 to 787 of the family's 1533-position model. The record is from RNAcentral.